GACGAACGCUGGCGGCGUGCUUAACACAUGCAAGUCGAGCGGAAAGGCCCUUUCGGGGGUACUCGAGCGGCGAACGGGUGAGUAACACGUGAGUAACCUGCCCUUGGCUUUGGGAUAACCCUCGGAAACGGGGGCUAAUACCGGAUAUUCACUGCUUCUCGCAUGGGGGGUGGUGGAAAGAUUUUUUGGCUGGGGAUGGGCUCGCGGCCUAUCAGCUUGUUGGUGGGGUGAUGGCCUACCAAGGCGACGACGGGUAGCCGGCCUGAGAGGGCGACCGGCCACACUGGGACUGAGACACGGCCCAGACUCCUACGGGAGGCAGCAGUGGGGAAUAUUGCACAAUGGGCGCAAGCCUGAUGCAGCGACGCCGCGUGAGGGAUGACGGCCUUCGGGUUGUAAACCUCUUUCAGCAGGGACGAAGCGUAAGUGACGGUACCUGCAGAAGAAGCGCCGGCCAACUACGUGCCAGCAGCCGCAGUAAGAC
Molecule: ribosomal RNA, 484 nt
Filed under: uncultured bacterium
Lineage: Bacteria
Description: bacterial SSU rRNA
Rfam family: Bacterial small subunit ribosomal RNA
Source: RNAcentral